GGCAAGGAAGAGAGGGACAAUGAAGUGCUGACCAAGGUGGAGCUGAAAGAGCUCUGGGAGCAACUCAAUCACCAGGGUUUCGACAACCGUCACCAAACAUGCAUCGACAUGGUUGACAAAAUGCUGAGGGAAGAAUCACAUCCGAGGAUGUUAAGGAGGUUAGUCACAAGAAACCAUACUGAAAAUAUAGUCUUAGUGUGUAAAUGUGAAGCAUAUAUUUUGCUUUUAAUUAAGCAAAUGAUGACACACUUCGCCAGCAAACAAACUUUCAAAAAUCAAGGAGCGAGCGUAUGAGUACACAGUCCUCGUCAGCAAGAAUUUGACCCUAACGAUUUGGGCUACAUAGAGGUAUGUGUAUGUCCAAGCGAAGCCUCGCCAUCUCGACAGGCGAUGUCUCACCAAAGUCAAGGCAAAAGCAUCGGAUACCAACCAGCGUGGUGACUGUGUAGUUCCUCUUGCCUUCCACAAGCCGGCGUGCAUGUA
Molecule: long non-coding RNA, 483 nt
Organism: Triticum dicoccoides
Lineage: Eukaryota; Viridiplantae; Streptophyta; Magnoliopsida; Poales; Poaceae
Exons: 3
Source: RefSeq, a predicted model, not a curated record